AGAGAGAGGGAGGAAGAGAGAGAGAGAGGGUGAGAGAGGAUAGAGAGAGGGGGAGGAAGAGAGAGGGAGAGAGGAAGAGAGAGAGAAUAUAUGCAGCAGCUCAAAAUAUGAGCCCUUUUUGCAUGCAGAGAUAUAGGGCUAACGGUGCAGCUCAAUGGCCAGUCGUGAAAGGAGAUAGCAAAUAACGUUUUGUAUUGGGGUGGUCAGGAGGGUGUCUGGUCUGCACAGACUGUUUAUUAUUGUUAUUAUAUCGCAUUGCUGCUUCUUCACCCAGAUUGGACAUCAUCAUCACACAUGGAUCUUGUGCAAAUGUAAAAUAAUACCACUUGGUUCUCUUCCAUAUUUAUACAGGGAAGCAAUGCACAUGUACUGUGCCAUCACAAGUGAGUGAUGCUUUAGUCAACAAAUGUCUCAGUAUGUAAGCCAAUCAUUUACUAAAUGCGUUUGGCCACAUAGCACAAGUCAUUCUUCUGUUACGUGCUUUCACAAAAGAAAUGAUGAAAUGCUUUUUCAAAUGACCACUCACUCAUUCUAUCUGUAAGGGUAAAUAAACAAUAUUCCACAAAUGAUCGAAACUCAGCCAAGAGGGGGAGAUGAGGAGACCGAAGCCAGUGUGCAUGAGUGUGAUGUUGUAGUGAGUGCGGUUCAGAGGUCCAGAGCACACAUAGGUGAGAGUGACCAGCCUCAGCCCACUGGCUGCGAGGACUGAGAGGGCCGGUCAGGCUCAGAGAUCUCCGGCUAAGAGAAUGCAGUAACACUAACAUUCCAGGAAGUGGUUUAGAGUCUACUGCCGCCUCAAAGUGAUCCGGUCACCAACCAGUUCCUGAGGAAAAAUAAAUAUUAGAAGUGGGUUUACUCAGCCAUGGACAAAGUCCGUCAGAAAUACCCCAUUUGUACGACAUUCCAACACACACACACACACACACACACACACACACACACACACACACACACACACAUACACACACACACACACACACACACAGAGAAGCAUCUUCCCCAGGCACAGCAGCCCCUGUGUAAAACAGAAACCUAAUUCUCUCUUAUAAAUAUUGACUGACGGCUGGCUGCGUUUCUCCCUGCGAGGGAGCAAAGCCAGAAAGAGUGAUAAAAGGUGCCCAACUUCCGCAAAGUUACACACAUACCUCUGUGCCAAUGUUCUAAAGAGUCCCUGUUCUACCCCUUCAGAUCCCUCCAGUAGUCCUCCUCCUCCUCCUACUCCUCCUCUUCCUCCCCCUCUUCCUCCUCCUCUCACUGUUCCUUCCACUCUCAUUGUUCUCCACAAAAAUAGGAUUUGUUUUUAUUUCGAGCUCAUUUAAUGACCUGCCUUUUCGUGUCACUUUUCCAACCACUACCGAGACGACGUGAGACGUGGACUGAACCUAUAUAGAGAGGAAGCAUUUCAAGAUAUCAAGAUGCAAUUUUUUCUUUUCUUUUUUUUUUUCUUUUUUGAUGCAUUGAGGUGUAUUUAAUGGUGUUGACAAACCAACAAUAAUGAAAUGAUGCAUUCUUGUAGAAAUAUUUUUAAAAGACCCUUUUGCAAUUAAAUUAUUUAAGAAAUAUACUGUC
Molecule: long non-coding RNA, 1569 nt
Organism: Alosa sapidissima (American shad)
Lineage: Eukaryota; Metazoa; Chordata; Actinopteri; Clupeiformes; Clupeidae
Exons: 2
Source: RefSeq, a predicted model, not a curated record